This is a long non-coding RNA of Cryptomeria japonica (Japanese cedar), 496 nucleotides long. RefSeq lists it as uncharacterized. NCBI's taxonomy places the organism in Eukaryota, Viridiplantae, Streptophyta, Pinopsida, Cupressales, Cupressaceae. The transcript has 2 exons. The record is from RefSeq and is a predicted model, not a curated record.
CUUUAAUUCUUCAUAUUAAACCUGGGUUUUCUUGGAAAUUUGUGCUGGUAUUGAUAUCUGGAGUGAAAGAUUUGAAGAGUUUUUCUGGUUUUCUUUAUUCUGAUGAUGGAUCAGCGAAUGUCGCAUAUUGUACUUAUAUUUGCUGAGGACUGCUGAAGAUAUUCGCGAGAAUUACAUAAGGGAAGCUUAUUUACAAAACCAUAUCACAUCAUUAGAUGAUGAAAUCAGUGUUGACAUCCCCUGGAACAAUCUCAGAACAGGCUUUCAUGUCUAUUGACAAGAUCUUAUUCAAUGUUUAUGUACAUAGAUCUGCAGAUGUUGUAUUUGGAAUAGUAGAGCAGAGUGGUGAAUGGAUAACUUCCUGGUUUCUUCCUGGUGAAUUUAGUGUAGAUUGCUUCCCAAAUGUUUGAUUCACUGGAAUAGGGUAUAGAAAUGUAAUAAAAGGUUUUGGACAAUUUUGAUUAAUUUUUUCUGUAUAUGAUUAUUUUUAGUUUUA